AAUGUAGAAUGGCGAAAGCGACAACAUUUAACCAGGAGAUCGGUUCCUAUUGCUUUAAGUUGUCAACAUAUUUUAAGCAAACAUCUGCACGUUAUAAUUUGCCGAAAUCACCGAAGCGAAUCGCCGUUCUUUGAAGUUCCCUUCAUCGGUAUUGUUUCUUAUGAAGUGGAAAUUAGUCAGGGAACAUAAGAGUGGCUGGUUAAAUAUGCAGCGACAUUAAAAUAAUAUCUGGAGUAAUUUACUUAUCCGUUUCUGGAUUAAGUAUUGUGCGACACCUCUCUCUCUCCCGUAUUUAAUCAUUCUGUCACACCACUCUUCACUAUAGACGGAGAAUGUUGAUUACUUCAGUGGCACGGCAUCUCCUAGUUACCAGAUAUCCGAUGUACUGCAGGAACCACUCAAGACUGUGUAUCGAAGGAUUAACAUGCGCAUGUUGCUGCUGAUGUUGAUGUGUAUCGUACUCCCCGUGUGGAUUGUUAACAGUGAUCACCAGAAAGAAUAUCCCAAACAAAGAUUCAGAGGUCGUACUUCACACAUUUACCAAGAUAUCACAAAUUUAACUUUAAAAUUUCUUCACCAAAAGACAGCAACCACAAAUACACCGACGACUUCUCCACCGAGAAAAAAAAUCAAAGGCCUCAUCGUGCGCCUAGAGGAAGAUAUAAUGAUAAUCAAGAUAUGCCAAUAUUUCCAAUUCCAAACGACACCGUCCUGGUUUCAGCGAUAUUUUUGUGUUCGACAUUUCAGACCAAUUUGGUGACGACAGCCUUAGAUUAGAGUUCUUUAUGGUCGCAUCACGAUUUCCAGUAAUUGUUUUGCAAAAGUAAUGUUAAUGACUGCGGUAGGCGGUGUAUUGAAAGUAUGUACCAUGUACAAAAAUGCAUAAUUAACUUUUUGACAUUUUGUGAUUGUGUCAGUGUUUUUACGCAUGAUUGAAGCAAAAUGAAACUGUUGAAGGUGUGGUGUUUAUUAUUUAUGGAAUGUAUACCUCUGUGAAAUAGCUCAGGUGAAAAUGCAUGAAAGUGUUUUUCUGUUUCAUACAAAACUGUAUUAUUAUGUAAUAAAUGUUUGACUGGUCAUUCACCUUUCAAGGUUACUUUUAUCUACCCUGUUUCGUAAUUUAGCUUCAUGCUAUAAUGAUAUUUCAUUUAAUUGCUUCAAAUUAAUAUGUUUUGAAUUGUGCAUGAUGCUCUUCGUAUUUUCGUUUUAAAAUAAAGAAAUGAAUACGUUCGGCAUAUUACUAA
Long non-coding RNA from Ostrea edulis (European flat oyster), 1244 nucleotides. RefSeq lists it as uncharacterized. The transcript has 4 exons. Lineage: Eukaryota; Metazoa; Mollusca; Bivalvia; Ostreida; Ostreidae. The record is from RefSeq and is a predicted model, not a curated record.